Molecule: RNA transcript, 2242 nt
Organism: Homo sapiens (human)
Lineage: Eukaryota; Metazoa; Chordata; Mammalia; Primates; Hominidae
Gene: MFSD1
Gene name: major facilitator superfamily domain containing 1
Exons: 16
Source: RefSeq, marked validated
AGUCAUGUGACCGCCGUCUUGACAGUGUUCCACGGGCGCUGCUUCCUGCCUGGGUUUGGAGUUGUCACCACUUUCCCCUCUCCGUCUCCUGCGGGCGCAAUGGAGGAGGAGGAUGAGGAAGCGCGGGCGCUCCUGGCAGGCGGCCCUGACGAGGCCGACAGAGGUGCCCCGGCCGCCCCUGGAGCCCUGCCGGCCCUCUGCGACCCCAGUCGCCUGGCGCACCGGCUUUUGGUGCUGUUACUGAUGUGCUUCCUUGGCUUUGGCAGCUAUUUUUGCUAUGAUAAUCCUGCUGCCCUUCAGACUCAAGUUAAACGAAUGGGGCACAAUCAUUUUUAGCUGCUUUGUUUGCAUUGGACAGGUUGUUUUUGCCCUGGGUGGAAUAUUUAAUGCUUUUUGGCUGAUGGAAUUUGGAAGAUUUGUAUUUGGGAUUGGUGGCGAGUCCUUAGCAGUUGCCCAGAAUACAUAUGCUGUGAGCUGGUUUAAAGGCAAAGAAUUAAACCUGGUGUUUGGACUUCAACUUAGCAUGGCUAGAAUUGGAAGUACAGUAAACAUGAACCUCAUGGGAUGGCUGUAUUCUAAGAUUGAAGCUUUGUUAGGUUCUGCUGGUCACACAACCCUCGGGAUCACACUUAUGAUUGGGGGUAUAACGUGUAUUCUUUCACUAAUCUGUGCCUUGGCUCUUGCCUACUUGGAUCAGAGAGCAGAGAGAAUCCUUCAUAAAGAACAAGGAAAAACAGGUGAAGUUAUUAAAUUAACUGAUGUAAAGGACUUCUCCUUACCCCUGUGGCUUAUAUUUAUCAUCUGUGUCUGCUAUUAUGUUGCUGUGUUCCCUUUUAUUGGACUUGGGAAAGUUUUCUUUACAGAGAAAUUUGGAUUUUCUUCCCAGGCAGCAAGUGCAAUUAACAGUGUUGUAUAUGUCAUAUCAGCUCCCAUGUCCCCGGUGUUUGGGCUCCUGGUGGAUAAAACAGGGAAGAACAUCAUCUGGGUUCUUUGCGCAGUAGCAGCCACUCUUGUGUCCCACAUGAUGCUGGCCUUUACGAUGUGGAACCCUUGGAUUGCUAUGUGUCUUCUGGGACUCUCCUACUCAUUGCUUGCCUGUGCAUUGUGGCCAAUGGUGGCAUUUGUAGUUCCUGAACAUCAGCUGGGAACUGCAUAUGGCUUCAUGCAGUCCAUUCAGAAUCUUGGGUUGGCCAUCAUUUCCAUCAUUGCUGGUAUGAUACUGGAUUCUCGGGGGUAUUUGUUUUUGGAAGUGUUCUUCAUUGCCUGUGUUUCUUAGACAGGAUUUGUCUCUGUCACCCAGACUGGAAUGCAGUGGAGCAGUCACAGCUCAAUGUAACUUUGAACUGCGGAGUUCAGGUGAUCCUCCCACCUCAGCCUCCGUGAUAGCUAAGACUACAGUGUCACUUUUAUCUGUGGUCUUACUCUAUUUGGUGAAUCGUGCCCAGGGUGGGAACCUAAAUUAUUCUGCAAGACAAAGGGAAGAAAUAAAAUUUUCCCAUACUGAAUGAGAAGUUAAAAUGAAUGUGUCAUGAGAAUGGGCUUAACACAUCGUUGGUUUGAAAACUUCCAUUUUUAAAAAUUUAGAGUUUAGUCAUUAGAAAAAAUAAUGGACUGGAAAGUUAUAUUUAUAUCCAAAUAUACCUAUUUCAAAGUGUAUUUGUGAGGCCUGUUUUAGCCUGUGUCUUUUGUAUUGUGUGUUGCUAAAGAAUUCUACUUUUAGUAGGCUAAUCAACAAUGAAAGGGUUAGAAAAUUGCUGUGGAACAUCCAGGUGAACUUCAGGAAAGACAGUGAAAAAUGGAAAACGUUGGAGCUUCUGUUGAGAUAAUCUUCAUUAGGUAUAUAUCUUAGGGAUACAGCCUUUUCUUUAUCUUAUAGCAGGAAAAAAAAACUUUUGAGGGAAAUAGAAGGGCUGCGUUACACAAAAUAAACAAUGGCAUUGUCAUAGGCCUUCCUUUUACUAGUAGGGCAUAAUGCUAGGGAAUAUGUGAAGAUGUUUUUAUGAAGUCUCUUUCUGAUCACGAACAAUAGCUUGCGCUCUACUCUGUAGUUAUGUGGAUUGCCGAGCAAUGACCCUUUUCAAUUUCUUAUUUCUGUGUUACUGAGGACCCUAAUCACUUAGGGAUGUAAUUUUAUAGUAUAAACUUUCUGUACAGUUUUUCUUAUAGUCUAAUAAGUAAAAAGUGUCCUUCAAAUUAUGAUAAUUGCCUAUGUACAUGGAUAAAUUAAAACACUGCACACGGA